AAGGUUUUAGCUUAAUUAAAGUGUCUGGGUUGCAUUCAGAAGAUGUGAGAUAGAGUCUUGCAAAUUUUA
Molecule: transfer RNA, 69 nt
Filed under: Narke japonica (Japanese sleeper ray)
Lineage: Eukaryota; Metazoa; Chordata; Chondrichthyes; Torpediniformes; Narkidae
Description: tRNA-Ala
Rfam family: tRNA
About the family: Transfer RNA (tRNA) molecules are approximately 80 nucleotides in length. Their secondary structure includes four short double-helical elements and three loops (D, anti-codon, and T loops).
Source: RNAcentral